ACUGGAGUCAGAUUUACGGCAAGUAUCCUAAACCCUUCUCUUGGAUAUAUUGCAAAUAUUCUGAUCCAUUCCUUUGGUAUAUGUUUCAAGUAUUCAUACCUUUCUUUUCAAUGUUCGAAAGUGCGAGUAUUCUGACCCAUUCUUUCUAAUCUUCAAGUUUCUAAAGAAUUUCCGUUUUACAAAUUAAUUCGAAGUUCAGAUUGUCAUUGAAGCAUGUGUUGCUCAGUGAUAGUUAGAGCUUUGAAUGAAUUGGGAUCUUCUUGAUUAUUCAACCCGCCA
This 279-nucleotide long non-coding RNA is filed under the name Daucus carota (carrot). RNAcentral describes it as "long non-coding RNA (DCAR_LNC007418)". Lineage: Eukaryota; Viridiplantae; Streptophyta; Magnoliopsida; Apiales; Apiaceae. The record is from RNAcentral.